Molecule: non-coding RNA, 119 nt
Organism: Anas platyrhynchos (mallard)
Lineage: Eukaryota; Metazoa; Chordata; Aves; Anseriformes; Anatidae
Source: Rfam
UGACUCUGGUUUCUCUUCAGAUUGUAUAAAUCUUUUGCAUUUUACUAAAGAUUUCCGUGGAGAGGAACAAGCCUUUUUUUCUGGUAUCAAGGCCACUUGAGGCAGCCCUUGUGAGGGAG